This is a long non-coding RNA of Bufo bufo (common toad), 248 nucleotides long. RefSeq lists it as uncharacterized. Lineage: Eukaryota; Metazoa; Chordata; Amphibia; Anura; Bufonidae. The transcript is spliced from 3 exons. The record is from RefSeq and is a predicted model, not a curated record.
ACUGUUAAAGGGGCGGGCUGCUGUGAAGGUCAAAGUUAUGGGGAUCGGCUGUUGUGGAAGUCCCAUUUUAAAGUGGCAGGGCACUGUGGGGGGUCAGUAUUAAGGGGUAGGGAACUGUGGAGUUUGCUGUUAAAGGGACGGGGUGCUGUAGAGGUCACUGUUAUGGGGGAUACUUUCAAUAUCUUUUAACGACACACAAAAACAUUAAAUUAAAUUGAUGAAAUAUACCCGUAGCCUUUUUAUGCGUA